This 253-nucleotide ribosomal RNA is filed under the name uncultured bacterium. Its description in RNAcentral is "partial 16S ribosomal RNA". It matches the Rfam family "Bacterial small subunit ribosomal RNA", at positions 524 to 776 of the family's 1533-position model. The record is from RNAcentral.
UACGUAGGUGGCAAGCGUUGUCCGGAAUUAUUGGGCGUAAAGCGCGCGCAGGUGGUUUCUUAAGUCUGAUGUGAAAGCCCACGGCUCAACCGUGGAGGGUCAUUGGAAACUGGGGAACUUGAGUGCAGAAGAGGAAAGUGGAAUUCCAAGUGUAGCGGUGAAAUGCGCAGAGAUUUGGAGGAACACCAGUGGCGAGGGCGACUUUCUGGUCUGUAACUGACACUGAGGCGCGAAAGCGUGGGGAGCGAACAGG